AAAUUGAAGAGUUUGAUCAUGGCUCAGAUUGAACGCUGGCGGCAGGCCUAACACAUGCAAGUCGAACGGUAACAGGAAGAAGCUUGCUUCUUUGCUGACGAGUGGCGGACGGGUGAGUAAUGUCUGGGAAACUGCCUGAUGGAGGGGGAUAACUACUGGAAACGGUAGCUAAUACCGCAUAACGUCGCAAGACCAAAGAGGGGGAUCUUCGGGCCUCUUGCCAUCGGAUGUGCCCAGAUGGGAUUAGCUUGUUGGUGGGGUAACGGCUCACC
Molecule: ribosomal RNA, 272 nt
Filed under: Escherichia coli
Lineage: Bacteria; Pseudomonadati; Pseudomonadota; Gammaproteobacteria; Enterobacterales; Enterobacteriaceae
Description: partial 16S ribosomal RNA
Rfam family: Bacterial small subunit ribosomal RNA
Source: RNAcentral